UACAGAGGGUGCGAGCGUUAAUCGGAAUUACUGGGCGUAAAGCGCGCGUAGGCGGCUUUGCAAGUCGGGUGUGAAAUCCCCAGGCUUAACCUGGGAACUGCAUUCGAGACUGCAUUGCUAGAGUAUGGGAGAGGGAAGUGGAAUUUCCGGUGUAGCGGUGAAAUGCGUAGAUAUCUGGAGGAACACCGGUGGCGAAGGCGGCGUCCUGGACCAACACUGACACUGAGGAGCGAAAGCCAGGGGAGCAAACGGG
Molecule: ribosomal RNA, 253 nt
Filed under: uncultured bacterium
Lineage: Bacteria
Description: partial 16S ribosomal RNA
Rfam family: Bacterial small subunit ribosomal RNA
Source: RNAcentral